RNAcentral lists this ribosomal RNA (502 nucleotides) under uncultured bacterium. Its description in RNAcentral is "bacterial SSU rRNA". It matches the Rfam family "Bacterial small subunit ribosomal RNA", at positions 28 to 518 of the family's 1533-position model. The record is from RNAcentral.
GACGAACGCUGGCGGCGUGCCUAACACAUGCAAGUCGAACGCGUCUGUGCUUCGGCACAGAUGAGUGGCGAACGGGUGAGUAACGCGUGAGUAACUCCCCUUGGGGAGGGGGAUAACCAUCUGAAAAGGUGGCUAAUACCCCAUAUUCUCUUUUCUCAUAAGAGGAAGGAGGAAAGGUGGCGCAAGCUGCCACCCCGAGAGAGGCUCGCGUCCCAUCAGCUAGUUGGUAGGGUAAUGGCCUACCAAGGCUAUGACGGGUAGCUGGUCUGAGAGGAUGGUCAGCCACACUGGGACUGAGACACGGCCCAGACUCCUACGGGAGGCAGCAGUGAGGAAUCUUGGGCAAUGGGCGAAAGCCUGACCCAGCGACGCCGCGUGGAGGAAGAAGGCCUUCGGGUCGUAAACUCCUGUUUGGGAGAAGAACAAGAGAGAAGUUAAUAGCUUCUCUCUCUGACGGUACUCCCCGGAGAAAGCUCCGGCUAAUUACGUGCCAGCAGCCGAC